RNAcentral lists this ribosomal RNA (496 nucleotides) under uncultured bacterium. Its description in RNAcentral is "partial 16S ribosomal RNA". It matches the Rfam family "Bacterial small subunit ribosomal RNA", at positions 29 to 507 of the family's 1533-position model. The record is from RNAcentral.
AUGAACGCUGGCGGCGUGCCUAAUACAUGCACGUCGAGCGAACGGACGAGAAGCUUGCUUCUCUGAUGUUAGCGGCGGACGGGUGAGUAACACGUGGAUAACCUACCUAUAAGACUGGGAUAACUUCGGGAAACCGUAGCUAAUACCGGAUAAUAUUUUGAACCGCAUGGUUCAAAAGUGAAAGACGGUCUUGUUGUCACUUAUAGAUGGAUCCGCGCUGCAUUAGCUAGUUGGUAAGGUAACGGCUUACCAAGGCAACGAUGCAUAGCCGACCUGAGAGGGUGAUAGGCCACACUGGAACUGAGACACGCUCCAGACUCCUACGGGAGGCAGCAGUAGGGAAUCUUCCGCAAUGGGCGAAAGCAUGACGGAGCAACGCCGCGUGAGUGAUGAAGGUCUUCGGAUCGUAAAACUCUGUUAUUGGGGAAGAACAUAUGUGUAAGUAACUGUGCACAUCUUGACGGUACCUAAUCAGAAAGCCACGGCUAACUACGUG